This 249-nucleotide long non-coding RNA is filed under the name Citrus x clementina. RNAcentral describes it as "Citrus clementina (C. clementina) long non-coding RNA (CCLE_LNC004951)". Lineage: Eukaryota; Viridiplantae; Streptophyta; Magnoliopsida; Sapindales; Rutaceae. The record is from RNAcentral.
CCCAAGGCUAUAGCCCACCCGUUUUUGUGGCCUUUUUCCGCUGGACAAACUUGGCGCCCCGGCCUUCGGGUGGUUAUUUUUGGGCGCGGCUGUGUCCGCGGCCUAUUUUUGGCACACGGAGUCGCCUCGCAAAGUCUCGCGCCAUUCCGAGUCCCGCGGACGAAGUUGGCCAGCCCCACCCCCCAAGGCUAUAGCCCACCCGUUUUUGUGGCCUUUUUCCGCUGGACGAACUUGGCGCCCCGGCCUUCG